RNAcentral lists this ribosomal RNA (343 nucleotides) under uncultured bacterium. Its description in RNAcentral is "bacterial SSU rRNA". It matches the Rfam family "Bacterial small subunit ribosomal RNA", at positions 28 to 334 of the family's 1533-position model. The record is from RNAcentral.
GAUGAACGCCGGCGGUGUGCCUAAUACAUGCAAGUCGUACGCACUGGCCCAACUGAUUGAUGGUGCUUGCACCUGAUUGACGAUGGAUCACCAGUGAGUGGCGGACGGGUGAGUAACACGUAGGUAACCUGCCCCGGAGCGGGGGAUAACAUUUGGAAACAGAUGCUAAUACCGCAUAACAACAAAAGCUGCAUGGCUUUUGUUUAAAAGAUGGCUUUGGCUAUCACUCUGGGAUGGACCUGCGGUGCAUUAGCUAGUUGGUAAGGUAACGGCUUACCAAGGCGAUGAUGCAUAGCCGAGUUGAGAGACUGAUCGGCCACAAUGGAACUGAGACACGGUCCAU